UUAUUGGUCCUCAAAUUUGCAGGAGCUGCAGCAGCAUGAAAAGUUCCUUCAUCUAGCAUUGAAAUCGCUCGAGACCUGUAAUCCAAGCUUCUGUUCAUCCAGGUGAGUCCCGUCGCCAUCACCCUUUGGUUCAAGCCUCUUAAGCCCUUGUGUUUUUUGUGAGAUGCAGACAGUUUCUGUCAAGGGGCUAAGGUCUGAUCGUAUGCCUGAUCUUAAUCCGCAUUUUCUUUUCUUGUCAAUCUGCGAUGAUGAGUAAAUAGUUCUACGGUGCUUGCUUAUGAUAGCUGAUAACUGAUAUCUCCACAAAGUAUCAUGGACCUAGCAAACCCAUGGAAGCAUACUGAAUAAAAUCCAUGUUUUGAUUGUGGUAAAUUGAAGUCGCAUAUUCACACUGUUAUUUCAAAAAAUAAGAGUAGUGUUUGAAAAUUUAACAAUGGACAUAUUCUUUUGCUAAUAUUGGAAACUUACUAUAAUCAUCUAAAGAUACUUCUCCUGCUGAUACUACGCAUAAAUUAUGUACAAAGAGUGAUAUUCCUUUUAGCACACAUGGUCAGUCCUAACUAUGAUGAAAAGCUGAUCUCUAGGGCCAUAGCUCUAGAUGAAUAGAAAUAGGUUUCUUAUUCUGUAGUUAGCACUUUUGUCUAUUUUAUUUAUAUUAUAUAAAUAAUAACCAAUAGUAUAUGGAUGUAGUUUGUCUUGGAUGGUACUACUAUGCACACUAUGCAGCUAAGAAGUAAGCCUUUUGCUUUAUUAAUUAGUCAAUUUUUUGAUAACCUGUAAUUUUUCAAAUGUGUUACCUUCACUGAUAAACCUAUAACUUAUUUGUCCUCAAAUCUGCAGGAGCUGCAGCAGCAUAAAAAGUUCCUUCAUCCAGCAUUGAAAUCGCUCGAGACCUAUAAUCCAAGCUUCUGUUCAUCUAGGUGAGUCCCGUCGCCAUCACCCUUUGGUUCAAGCCUCUUAAGCCCUUGUGUUUUUGUCAGAUGCAGCCAUGGACAGUUUCUGUCAAGGGGCUAAGGUCUGAUCGCAUGCCUGAUCUGUACAACACAUUAAUCUUAAUCCGCAUUUUCUUUUCUUGUCAAUCUGCGAAGAUGAGUAAAUAGAAUCUUUUUGUAUGAAAAGAAGGAAUACCCUUGAUUUAAAUUGUUUAUUUAUUGGACCCUUACUCUUUGCUGCUGCAAGUAUACCUUUUAUUUUAAGCUACAUUUAUUCAUGCAGGUGCUUGCUUAUUAAAUAGAUUUUUUUGUAUGAAAAGAAGCAAUGCCUUUGAUUUAAAUUGUUUAUUUAUUGGACCCUUACUCUUUGGUGCAGCAAGUAUACCUUUUGUUUUUAGCUACAUUUAUUCACGCAGGUGCCUGCUUAUUAGAUAGAACAUCCCUUUUCUAUUCACGCAAGUAUAUUAUUGGUGCUGCAUCCCUUUUCUAUGUAUCAAGUGUUAUAAACAUGCCAUAAAAAUAAACUGGGUUUUUACUUUUUAGUGUACUUUGAUUUGAAUAUGAUAUGAAUUUAGUCACCUGACAUAUUUUUUGUAUGCAGUUGGAAUCAAGCAAAAAAGUAUGGGUUAAAGUAACAAACUAAAAUAGCUCUCAAGCUGGUAUUCUUUUUACCAAACUUUGUGGCUCCUUUUUACUCUUCUGUUAGCCUAUUACUAUAUUGAAUACUGUUUGGGGGUAAGAAUUUUGCAACUUAGUUUUGUUCACAGCCUUUGAUGUUUUCUACUACUUGUGACAAGAGACAACCUCUUCCACUAUAAAUUUGUUGAUUUUGCAGCCUGCCUGUGUUGCAUCUCUUCUUGUAAUGCUAGGCCCGGAAUGGAUCCAAGACAAAGUUUGAUAAGUUCUUAAGUUAGAACUAAAGUUCCAAAAACACCUGCAUAGCUGGUUGCAGCAGCUAGACAAAUUUUAUUAUUAACCUUUUUCUGUUGGUUUACUUGAGCAUUCACUACUUUGUGCUGCUACCUUAAUGAAAUGAUGCGCAGCUCUCCUACGUAGUUCGAGAAAAAAACUACUUUGUGCUAAAGAUUUUGUUUAUAUUAGUAACCUUAGAUAUCCUGCACACUUGAUCAGAUCCCUAGCCUUUUUAACCUAACACCAUAGAGGAUUGAGAUGCAUGACACCUUUCAUGUUUUCCAUCUUGUAGAGGGUUUCUAUAGACCAGGUUGGGUUCUAGCAAGGUUCUGAAAUAUAAGAAUAGAACCUUUGCUAAGAACGGAUGCAGAUGGAUGCAUAUUUGAGUUUCCUGCUUUCAUUUUAGGACAUUUAGUUUGUACUGGAAAUAUUAACUUUAUCAACUAUGCUCACUUAGUCAGAUUAUGGUAUUUUUUUGCUGCUUGGUGCUUAACUCAUCCAUUGAUUGUAACCACCAAACAAAAAAAAUACCUCAAUCCUACCUAUUGUGUAGACUGACCGCUCGCUCGGUGUCAUUAUUUGCUAGGCCCUAACUUGCCUUUUUGAUUCUCACCUAAUGGUUACUGUGUGAUUCACAGGCAUUUUGAUGGUUAAUUCAAUGGAAUAAAGUGGCUCUCGAGUACCAUUGGUUGACAAAACUAACACUAUUAAUGGAGGUAAACAAAAUAAAUCAACCUUUUACUAUAAUAUUAUUAAACAAAAUAAACGAACCAGUGCAAGUCCUAGAAGACACGUCAAAAACGGACCAGUGGAAGUCAAAAACGGACCAGUGGAAGUCAAAAACGGACCAGUGCAAAGAAAUCUUCAUAACUUUUUAAUCACAGAAGCUAUGAAGGCCCAUGAGGACUUGUUGGAAAGCGUGUCGAGUUUACUUUCCAAUGAAUCUAGUGGUGACCAGUUUGGAUACUCUGUUUUGCCUGCAGACCAGAAUUAGUACAGACUGCUCAGAAGGUCAACAGUCUGUCGUGACAGAAUGUUGGUACAAAUGGCCGUGCAAAACUGUACCAAUCUACAACGUUUCGUGGUGCAUGGCAUACAUUACUGGAAAGCUCUUGGAGUCUAGUUUCGCACCCAAGAAACGGUUCAUCAUUUGGACUUCCCAAUAAGAAGUUAUGGCCAGUUUAUUGGAAACUGCUCUGGAGGCCAAUAGUCACGCGAAGCCAGUUCGGGAGUCCAUUCCGAGAGGGCCUUUCACAUUGCCUUCCCUCAGAAACUCUAUUUCGUUUUCAUACCUAUAUAGGAGGGUUGUUCCUAGUAUAAAUAUCCCCUACCUCUAAGCUAUCAGCAACCUUUGAUGAUUUGAUAAACUACAUGAUGUUGCAGCCGUGCUGCUGAGUGCCUUACUCAACCUUUGUUCUUCCUUAUUCUUCUUGGACUUGUGAAGUGAAUCCUCUGGGUUCCCCUACUUCGUGCUCUACGGCUUCCGUUCGGCUGCGCCGUAUUGUGUGGAUUAGUUCUGGAUUGUGGUUCUGCGGUCGUUCGGAGAUCGAGUCGAAGUCUUCGCGGUUUCGGUGCCUCUCUCCCCGUUGCUUGGUCGCAUCCAACCUUUGUCAGGUAUAAAGCUAGUUACCCGCUGUUCGCAGCAAGUUAUCCUUGUUCUUUUGAUCUACUGUCGUGAAGAUCGGGCCACCCUCGUACCGAUUCAUAUCGGUACCCUAUCAGGUCUCCUCUAGAUAAUUCUGUUUAAACUCAACGUCUUCUGACCUUACAACUUCUCCUUCGUAGUCUGCCCAUCCGUCCUUGAUGAUUUGCCUCCUCUGGUUGCGGUUGCGUCGUCUUCUUCUUGUCCUGACCUGCUUAGAAUCUUCAACUAUAUAGUUAGAAUCAUUAAAGUAAUGGCGUACCUUCUCAGAGAGGAAAUACACGUGGACUUCUCCUCGUAGAUCCCGGUUCUUCACUUAAUGGAAUCUGGGAGUUGUAAAACGCCUUCACGUUUCUCAAAAUGUGUCCUGCUCAUAGAGACAAGGCAGAGAUCAAGUGCAUGGGCUCUGUUGGUGGAAAACACCAAGAGAACCAAAAGUGUAUUUGUUCUUUUCUAACCUUAAGCAUAGUGAGCAAGACAAAGUUGAUGGAUCAUGAGUGUAGCAUUUAAAACAUUUGUUAGAUCGGAUGGCUCAACCUAAUGGAAAGAUAAUCUAUCUAUAUUUAUGUUUUGUUUUUAUCUUCCAAAGAUUGAAUGUGCAACAUAUUAGCUUAUAUGUUUAGGAGCGUGGGAUUACGAAGGUAGUACUAAGAACAAAGAUUAAGGGACUAAACAUGUUGAAUCAGUUAGGUUGGUUAAUUUAGAGUUAUAAAUCAUACAUGUUUGUCUCUUUAUUUAUGUGAACGCCAGAACCAAGGAGAAACUUAUAAAAGGAUAGUCAAGUACCUUAAGAUGUUACCUUUGAAGAGUGAUGGUACAGUAUCACCUUGUAGAAGCUUUCCUUUCUAGCGGUUGUGCAUCGUGUUUGUGGCUCCCUCCAUGGAUCAUCUCUUAUGAGCUACGUCUUUCUUGUGCAAAUUGUUAAACUUCAUGUGUCACUUUCUUCAUCUCCAAUGUGAGUUUAUCUCAGGACUUCCCAGGUUGAUAUUGAAAGUUUUCCUGCAGGGGUUAGUCCCACAAAAUAUACCAAUGUCUACACAAGCAAUUUUUAGUUCGAUAACCGAACUAGACUCCAUGUCUAAUUAGAAUAAGGAAGGCUGUUUAACCUAAGCACCAUGCUUAAUUUAAAAGCCAAUAGAACUAUGUGCAGUACUUCCAAACUAACACUUACUAGGAUAAACAAAGGUAGCGUGAUGGCAUUUAUAGAGAUCUACUUAAGUGGAGAUGAAGUAGUGUGAUUAGUAUUUAACAAAUUGAGCAUGUCUCAAAGGUAAGGACAACCAACAUAGCAACAUGGCAAAGGAUGUUUUUAUGUGAAGUACUCCCCUAAUCUUGAAUUUUGCAAAAUUCAAGAUUGGAUGAAUUUAAUUCAAUGUUGCAUGUUGAUUGGUUGGGCAUACCUUGCGCUUGUCAUUUAUCCGGUCUUCUUGCUCUAAUCCUAGAAAGGUUAGUGACAAGAAUACCCGAAGGAAUAUUUCUACAAUUAUCUUAUAUGCUCAAUACACAAGGUAAUGUUGCAAGUAAUUAGAAGUUUAUGUUACGAUCUGAUAAGUGCUUGUUUUAGGACACUAAGCUUGUCCUUGGGAAACCAUCAAUUAACUCGACAAGAUCUGCAAUAUUUAUUAUAGACAUAUGCAUCGACAACCGCUCUUUUAAAGUUUUUAUAAAUAGAAAAGAAGAGAGGGUUGGAGAUCUCAAAUGUGGUGAUAGCACAUGAAUUUUUAAUGCCCUCUAGCCAUUGAUGUUGCUCUUCUCGAUCCUCCUUCUUAUACAUGGGAUGUCUAGAGAGAUUCAUAGGAUUAUCGGGAGGUUCAAGAGAAAGAGCAUAGUAGAGAUUAUUAGGCUCAAGGAUGGGUUGGAUAGCCAAAUCAUGGGAUUGGAAAGUUUGGAAAUCGGCUAUUGAAACUUCCUCUCCUUGUAUGGGAGAUGAUUCCUUCUCUAUCUCUAUGAUUUUUCUAUGAAGACUAGUACAAGAAGGAUGUCCACGAAUGAAGACAUACCUUCUGUUACUAACUGAUAAAGAAAGAAGGACUCUACCAAAGGUUAUAUGAUUAAGACCAAUGUGAAAAUAUCUAGGAAAAACAUGGUCUUGCAGGGCUAGGUCUAAACCAGAAUUUAUAGAAAGAUUAACAGAUUCCCUAGGUGUAGCUAAAAGUGCAUUAUCUUCUUGAUUAAAAGAUAGGACCUCGGCUAUAGAAAAGGGUUGGUUUUGACCUAUUGCAAUCAACUCCGGACACAGAUCAUAAUUAGGGGCAGGACGUGUUGACUCCCAUGGUCUAUGGCUGGUCUCCGAAGGUGCAAAGAAUUUAAUAAUAGUUAUGGAAUUUGAGAUAUCCAUAAAGAUAAAAAGAUAAAAGUAUAAAAGUAUAAAAGUAUAAUACAAGAUAAUAGCAAGACUCAAAGUUAUCUCAGCAAACCGUCUUUCUCCCCGGCAACGGCGCCAGAAAUGCUUGUUGAUAUUUGGUAACGCAAUAAGGAAAUGAUCCGCAAGCGCACGGAUAUCGGUGAGCAUUUCACCCGGGAGGUUUUCUAGAGUAUCGUAUUUAUAUUUUUACCACUGGGAGAAAGGGUGCAUCUGACUAACCAAAUCUAUUGCUACUAUCCCUUUAGGCUACAAAGAAUGUCUCUCGAUGUGAGUGAUAAAUAGAGAAGACUGCAACCGUAGUCUCCUUCUAACCUUGGUAAGGAUGAUCUACUGUUCUAAUGGGGAGGCUAACGGAAUCUAGACACCACAAAGGAUGUUCAACCCGCACCUAUAAACCCCAUCCUUCCUGCUAACAAGAUGUGAUCUGCAAAGGUAACUCGGAAUUGUCACGUUCCUCACUACUACCACGGUCCAGCUAGUCAGGGAAUAUCUAUGAGUACCCCAGCCUAAACACCACGUUUACGCCAGCAAUGAUUACUCUAAACUCUACGCGAAGAGAUUAAAGUAAACUCAUAAACCAUAAGAACAAUAAAACAAGAACUUACUAGAAUUUAGAAGUCGAAAUACUGAAGAAUCCUAGGAGCAAGCUUCGGGUUAGGAGAACUUGAUCCCGCAGGUACAAGCUUGGAGUAGACACCGACAGGCCGGGCUUCCUCCAAUCUACACCUCCACUCUAUCUCUCUCAAUCUAGUAGAAACUAGAAGAUCUAUUUCUACUUUACAUUGGUUGCUAAGCCUAAAAAGAAAUAUUAAUUAGAGAAGAGGUUUUCCUUCGAGGGCACCCCUCAAUCUCUAUGAUAAUUUCUUUUCUUCUCCAGGGCAGGGGGGUCUCCUUAUAUAGUCCUCCUCCUCUAUGCGUUUUUGGGUCGGUAAGCGAGGUGGUACUAUGUUUUCCUUGAUCCAAUAGGUCGGUGGAACGUCGUGUGCGAAGAGAGUCCCGAAGGGCUUCCAGAGGUGGGCGGGCGCCCAGGUCACCAGGGCGGGCGCCCUGGGCCUGGUCCCGAAGGGCUUCCUUCCCGUGGCUUCUGGAGUCUUCUAAAUGGUAGAAAAUUGCGCGGUGCGUUGAUAUCUCUAUGUAAUCCCGACAUGUGGGCCUUUCUUCCUUAUUUCCUGAUAACCCCUUGCAGAAAUAGACAAACACCAAAACUCGUGGAAUUCUGUCAGAUAAAACCCUAAGUCUAGAUGUUGAUUUCAUUUGGAUCCUUUUCUUUGUUUAUUUGCUAAUUAAAUUUGAUACUUAAGGACCGUCAACACCAGGCUGGUGGUUCGAGGGUUCCAAAGAAAUAUUAUCGAUGCAGAAAUUAUGGUUGGAGACCAUAUCGGAAAGCGAAUCUUUCUACCACGAAUUCCGUUAUGCCCCUCGGAUGACGAGAUGUUCCCGUUCCAGUUUAAGAGGAAGCAGUUUCCUAUUAGACUCAGUUUGUCCAUGACGAUUAACAAGGCACAGGGGCAAACUCUCCCCAAUGCUGGUGUGUAUUUGCCUAAACCAGUGUUCUCUCAUGGUCAGCUGUAUGUUGCGCUAUCUAGAGCCAUUGCCAGAUCAAACAUUAGAAUCCUUGCUAUCCCACCCAGUGAUAAGAAGGAUAAGAAAAAAACGACAAAAAUAAAUGUUGCAUACACGAAAAAUAUUGUCUACAAAGAUGUCCUCACUCUAUGAAAAGGUAUUGUCUUCUGUUUUGCACAACUCUUAUAUUCUUACAGUUAUAUCCUCCAUUACCAACACUUUUGUAUCUAUCUAAAUUUCAGGUAAUAGAGAAAGUCAUGAAGGAAUGAGAGAUAAGUAGUGUAUGAUGACGUGUUACUGACUAUAUGUACUUAUUAUAUUAUAAUAUACUUUCAAUAACUAUAUGUGAAUUUAUGUUUAAUUUGAAAUGUGAUGAUUGUUAUUUCUAACAUGCCUCUUCUUCUAUGGUUAAUAUUUAGCUUUAUGUCAAAUAAAUUGUUAGUGAAUGGAUGAGAUUUUAUAUAUUUGUUAUGAGAUUCUGUGUAUACCCGUAGCAACGCACGGACACUUAACUA
This 7929-nucleotide long non-coding RNA is filed under the name Sorghum bicolor (sorghum). RNAcentral's name for it is "long non-coding RNA (SBIC_LNC000727)". Lineage: Eukaryota; Viridiplantae; Streptophyta; Magnoliopsida; Poales; Poaceae. The record is from RNAcentral.